This is a small nuclear RNA of Rattus norvegicus (Norway rat), 104 nucleotides long. NCBI's taxonomy places the organism in Eukaryota, Metazoa, Chordata, Mammalia, Rodentia, Muridae. The record is from Ensembl.
GUGCUCAGUUUUUCAGCACAGAUGCUGGAAUUUUAACUAUACAGAGAUCAGAGUGGUUCCUGGUCAAGGAUGCUCCACAAAUUUGUGACGCAUUCCAUAAUUUA